This is a long non-coding RNA of Camponotus floridanus (Florida carpenter ant), 564 nucleotides long. RefSeq lists it as uncharacterized. The record is from RefSeq and is a predicted model, not a curated record. The transcript has 4 exons. NCBI's taxonomy places the organism in Eukaryota, Metazoa, Arthropoda, Insecta, Hymenoptera, Formicidae.
GGAAUUUAAAAAUGAAGCAAGAGAAGGAUCAAAAGAACUCAUCAGAAGAUGAAAAAAUAAUACAUUACUGUACAAAAUGAAUAAUGGCGAUUGCAGUUUCAACGUGAAACGACAUUAUAAAAAGAGGCAAAUUUGACACACCCCAUGUAACAUUGGAGAACUUGUACCGACGUCGACAGUAUGGUCGUAAAUCGAGCGAGACUUAUAGCAUAUUUUGUAACCAAUUUGAUGCAAUAAAUUUCAUCCUCUGCGGACGAGAGAACGUGAUAAUCCGUAAUAUGUAAGAACCGCUAAUGUCCUUUCAUUUAUUCAUGGAAAGCGAAUCGACAACGAAAAUGCGAAAUCCUUCGAGCUCAUCGAACGAUCAUUAAUCAGCAUGUAUUAUGGAUUUAAUCUCCAAAUCUAUAAGCGAAUCUGUCGUAAAAGUAAUGUAGUGACGACAACCGAUGAAAGUACCAAAUUCUCUACCACUGAGAUAACUGUGAUCACUGAGAUAACUCCGAAUCUAAUUAAAAAACCAGUAAAACCGGCUUUUGUGAGAAUUUAUUCUUCGAUCGUGAGAGA